Long non-coding RNA from Cavia porcellus (domestic guinea pig), 922 nucleotides. RefSeq lists it as uncharacterized. The record is from RefSeq and is a predicted model, not a curated record. The transcript is spliced from 3 exons. NCBI's taxonomy places the organism in Eukaryota, Metazoa, Chordata, Mammalia, Rodentia, Caviidae.
GUCUGCUUUGGAUAGGAGGAUAGCAGAAACCCUAGAGUUAAGGGUUGUUUUUCCCGAUAUCAUCAACAAUAAAUACUAUUAAUAAUAGUUUCCCCAGACUCAAGAGCCAGACAUCCAAGCUGACUGAAAGCUGCAGCUGCUGUCUCUGCACUUUUGGGGGCGUUUGAGCAAGAGCAGUUGCCAUACAGCCCCCUCCCCACAACACACCCCUAUCCCGUCUGCAUUACAGACUGGGCCAGCAUGUGAUCAGGCUGCUGAUGCUUCCCGCUGCCAGUGACAUCAGCCGGCUGAGCCGUGCAAUAGAGAGCGGCAUCAUCCCUCGCAGAGCGGGGGAGGAGCAGGAGGGACGACAGGGAGGAGACUUGCCUCCCAGGGAAAAAAAAAAUAGCACGAGAGCUACUUGGAAUAGUCCGAGUGCAAUGCUGAGCCUUUGAAUACUGGCCAAAAUGUAAGGGCCACCAGGUCCUUUAAUUUUCUUGGAUGCUGCCUAGGACCAAGAACCCAUUUUAUGACCACUCACAACUCUAGCAAUAAAAAUCUAAAGAAGGUCCAACUUCAGAAGCUUCUGCAUUUCCUCUUCAUCAAUGUCCUCUUCUGUAUCAGUCAUUUUCCAAUGUGACCGCUUGUCACCUGGCUUCUUCAUAAAGGAGGUUACAGCAGCAGUUUCAGCCCCAGCCGCAAGGCUGCUCACAUCUACACCAGGCACACAUCACUUUGAAGGUUUUCUGUUGCAAGAAGCAGCAGCAGAGAUGAGAAGCAUGCCCACUUGGGACCUCCUCUGGCAGGGACUAAGCAAGGAUCGAACUCACCGACUGCCUGCUUACAAGGCAGGCGCUUAUGCUGCUGAGCUAAAUCCCCAGCCCCUAUUGGAUUAAUCUUGAUUGUUUCUAAUAAUAUUCAAAUAAAUUCUGCAUAUUUCAAA